Homo sapiens (human) is the source of this 8861-nucleotide long non-coding RNA. RefSeq lists it as uncharacterized. The transcript has 2 exons. Lineage: Eukaryota; Metazoa; Chordata; Mammalia; Primates; Hominidae. The record is from RefSeq and is a predicted model, not a curated record.
CCUCCAAGCAUGUCUCAGUUUCUCCAUCUGUAAAAUUAGACAAUGAAAUGAAUGUUAUUUAUAAGAAACCUGAGGGAAAUCCUUCUGAUUAUCUUCACUGAAACAAUGCGAAUGAAUAUUUUUGUGGGGGCUCUGCCUUGCUCUCUUCCUGGGCUCACUCUUGCCUAGCGCCUUCUUAUCUGCUCGAGGGGUUUUUCAGACCACAGCCUUCUCAGUGCUUGUUAAUGGGUUGUGUUCCCAUCUCACCUUCUUGUUAACACCAUCCCCAGCUCUAGGAAAAGAGGCGGUGGCCUUGGGAACUCUUUAUGCCAAAAUAAACAACAAAGUUUGGAAACAUUUAGACCAAGAUAAUUAGGAAAAUGGUGUUGAAUAAAAGAUAGCAUUAGAAUUGCUACCAUGCUUAAGUUAGAAUCCGGUUCCAAAAAGCACAAUCUCCAGUUAACUGAUCUGUUGUAAAUUUUUUUUUUCUUUUUGGUUUAGUUUUGUUUUUUAAAAGAUUUAAAUUGUUUAAAUCUUCUGAUCACUCCUGUCAGUUAAGGUUUCUUCCUCAUUGAGAAGUCACACUGGGGGGAAAAAAAUGUGCCCACAGCUGUUUACUAUUUAGCAACACUAUUAAAGGAACACUAUUUAACAAUAAUUCAUGAAGCUCCCUACUCAGAAAAAAAGACAGCUCCUCUGAACUAUCUACCUAUAUAAUACAAAUUUAUUUUCUUGAAAUUGCAAAAACCCGCAUGUUGAGACAAACAUAUAAAUUGCCAGGAUUUUUGUGUUCUUUCAGAACUUAAAUAUAACCAAACGAUUUUGGGCAAGGAAUCAGAAAUUCUUUAGAACGGAAAUGUUGAAACCCCAGAUUCAGUUCUAAAACUCAUCUUUCAAAAAGAAUUCAUGCUCUGAAAAAUGCAGCGUUUUUAUGUUUGGUAUGAUAACAGCCCCAUGGAAUUAUCACAUCAUAUCUUGACGAUCGUUACGGAGCGGUGAUGAUCUCUUAGGCAUUAACCCAGGAUUUUCUCCAAUAAUAUUAUCAUUUAUAACAGCAAUAACAUUUUGUAGAUCACAGAGUGCUUUUAACAUAUUAUCUGAUGGGAUACCUAAAACCCUAUAACCUGUGUAAGAAAAUCAAGGGUGAAAUGAGUAAGUUGUCUAAAGUGACAAGCCUAUUCCAGACAGGGCCCAGCGUUUUAGGACUUCAGUCCAAGUUCUUUUCACUACAUGAUAUUAAGACUAUCCUUUAUCAUCGAGUAUUUUCCUGUAAAAAUAAUUCAUUUGGAAAGAUGAAGAAACACAUAAAGCCUCCAUCUCUUGCCUCUGUGAACCUCUCGGCUCUCACAUCCCACACACGGGCCUCCGUUUUGAGUGCAUGUUUUCGUAUUCACCCUCACAGCACAUUCCCAGCUUUAAAUAGUUGUCUCCCAUCUUGUAUGAAUGUACAUUUGUGAUCACAGAAAGGCCUUCUCAGUUACCAGCACUGUUUUUACUGCUGGGAACAAAAUCAUUUCAAACAAACAGCUUUUUUUUUUCUUCGCUCCUUCACUCUUAACCCCCAGCCUCAGUAGCACUACGAGGAGAUGUACCGGACAAGCAGCAGGCAGGCCUACAAUGCCCGCUCUGUCUUUCCCCUGCAGACCCUCCAAACUAGCAGGGGUGCCUGCCAAGAGGGGGUGCCUCAGCUCCAGUGGAUCGCAGCUUCAGCAAAUGGCACUGCUCCCUCCAAGGGAGCCCUCCACCUGUGCCCCCAGUGUGGAGACAGGGAGCACUCUUCACUCUCAGGAGCGGAUGUUCACUACUUUCACUAGUGGUCCUAGCAAAGUUUCAAACUGAGCUACUGAGUGGGAGACAGAUUCGUACCAAUGGAGAAACUGGUUCUUCCGCUUUCUAGAUUUCAUGCCACCAUGAUGACUGGGAUGUCCCAUUGUUCCCCCUGGGCAAACCGGAAAUCCAUUUUACUGUUAGAAAUACUAGAUCUUUAAAAAAUCUGUUUAUUCUGGAGUCAGUCACACACAGGGCAAUCUAUGUGAAAGAAAAGAGGAAGGAGCAGUUGCAUAAUUGUCAUACCAUCCAUCAUGUUCAUUCUCACACUGACCAUGGUUUUUAAUGUCUGUCCACCUGCAGUCUGUGGCCUCGCCAGACAGUAAGGGCAGCGCCCUGGAAGUGGGGGAUUUAUCACUUGCCAGUAGGUUUACUCUUGGGGAGACGCUGGGGUUUUAUCUCCAUGCCCCUGGAGAAUUGACUUACUGAAUGCUUCCCUUGAAGACCUAAGUCACUGGUUCUUCAGCCCCUUUGCAUAGUCCUCUCACUGAAAUCAGAACUGAAUUUGUUCUUUUUCAUUUUUGGUUAAGAAGAUGCACAUUAGAAGACAGCUCAGAGCAAUGGGGCUGACCUAGUGGGAAAAGACACUGGUUUCUUUUCACGUUUCUGGAUGGCCCGUGGCCCACAUCUGCCAGCAUCUUCGCACGUGUCCACAGCACCAGUCAGCCUCACCCACCUUGUCUUUCCCUUUGCGAUCUUAGAAAGAAUUUGGUAGAAAUGGGAACCGAAGAUUGAGCAGAAAGUAUAAUUACCACAUGUAUUUACCAGCUCAUUUUCAAGAGCAGUAAAAGUACACUAAACAUUCUGCUUGUACAUACACUAGCACUUUAAAACUACCAGCUUUCUAAAACAUGGUUUUGAUUUUUGGAGCAAACAUUCAAUUGCUAUUCUUUGAUAUUAUUGAUUUAUAAACAAAAUGAUCAGCAUUCCCUAAUGUCUCGAAGCAAAGAAAUUAGGGUAACACAUUUAAAAUUUAUCAGUUUGAAACUUUCUAAAUACUCUUCCUUAAUAAUAACCACAAUACACUGAAAAUGUCAAGUUCUGUAAAAAAUGAACAGGGACGCGAAUGUGUCGGGCUUCAUUUUGAAGACCCAGCGUGUUUCUCAUCCUCCCCAGGAAGGGAAGGUUGAAAUCAUGAAGUUAACAUCUGCCUUUUCGUAAACACCACCUCAAAGUGCUCUUUCUCUUAGGUUGGAGGCUGAAAGAAAGAAGCACAAAUCUUCCCUGGGCCAAGAGUUUCAUCAUAAGCCCUGUGUGAUCAAUAAGUACAUUGUGGUGGUUAUUUCAUAGCUGAUUAACUUAUAUGUCUACAAGCCAACACUUGACUUGAAAGGCUGGUCGGGUUGCUCGCCGUGCGAGCAUGGCCUUUACCAGCCUGCCCUGGCAGCCAGCUCUGGGACUGCUCACUCCUGACCACAACCCGGGUACAGCCCUGAAGUUUCGUCGUGAGUAACCCGUCAGCAGGAGCCCAUGCCUCUCUGAAAGGGCAUUUUGUCUUUUUUGGCAGUACCAAAUGGCAGGAUAAUUAGUGUUAGGGAGGGAAAAAACAGAAUUGAAAACCACAUCCGAUACCUGGUUAUGGACUCUUCAACUUUGUGGAGGCAGAAAAUGUGGUGGCUUUAUUUUUCUUAAUAAAUGCAGACGGUUAUAAGCAAUUGAGCAUUUAAUGAUGAGAUGAUGCUGAAAGGCAUAACUUAAUAAAAAUUGCCUCUGUGUUUCUCACUUCAUGGUUGAAACAGACUGUGCUUCUCGGCUUUUUCUGUAAUCAGGUUUAUAUCAGAUUGUCCUUUAAUUCACGUUAAGAUCUUACAUCUUAGUACUUCCUCUUAGAGUUUUUGUAUUCCUCCUUGCAAAGUCUCUGUUUCAUUUUUAGGGAAAGGGUUUCCUAUAGUUUUUUUUUCGUCUCCAGUGUUGCUUUUAAUUUCACCAAUUAUGGAGUAAAUAAAUCAUUGUGUACUUGGAAGAAAAAUUGGCAGGAGAGCAGAAUAUGUUAAGGACUCUUGCUUUUCAUUGUGAGCGAGAUUUCCCAACUGGAGCGUCUCUGUUUUAUUUUGCCUCUGGCUAACAUCUGAAGAUCAGUAAUAAAGCUCUAUGCAAAUACUUUCAUGUAUUAAAAGAACAAUAUUUUGACACUCAUUGACACAAGCAAAAAAAAUACAACAUUAAAUUAGUGUUCAGGCAAACAAUGAAGACAUUGUUCAUUCACAUGAAAUGCAUGUGAAAAAUGCUGUGUUAUAUUAACAGAAAAGCUUGCUCCUCAGAACUCGACCUUUAGCACUGGCGUAAAUGACAUUACUUAUGGUGCUGUAUAGUAUUAGACAGGCUUUCUUGUUAACAGUCUUGAGCAGCCGUUGAUAACUUGUCAGACUACUGAGAAUUUUAGUCACCAAAAAAUAAAUGUUCAUUCUCAGUACCUGAUAAUUUAAGUUUCUCACAGAUUUUUUAAAUUAUCUUUUGGAUAUUUUAGAGUUUUCAAAUACUCGAUAAGUUAAAUACUUUAAAAGUGUUAAUUCAUUGUAGGCUUUUUCUACUUGUUUUUCCAGAUUUCAUCUAGAAUUAAGUAGACUUAAUUUUUUAAAAACUCCCUUGAUCAUCUAUAAUGUGUUUUUAAAAUAAUUGAACUUCAAGGUACGCUCUUGAUUUUUAUUCUGAAUCUUGGAGAACACAGGGGGCCUUUUGUUUAAUUUUCAGUCAUGUGGACAGGCCCUUCCAUGGAAGGGGAGGUUUCUCUAGAUGACUCUUUGCAUGUAUGUAGUAGAAUUUCUUUCCUCCUUUAUCACUACACUCAAAUGUUACAGUUACAAUCAUUGUUUUCUUAAAUACAACUGGCUUCCCUUUUCAUCUGUGUUGAUCCAGGACAUUGCAGAGUCAGCAUCUGGGAAAUCAUUAUGCCAACAGACCAUCCCAGUCCCGGGUGAGGUCAAGUUAGUAAGAGCAAUUGGACCACCCGAAAGAACAAAGCUCAGAUACUCCUCAUAGUGGGACAUUCUCAGAUUAGCAAACAAAAAUUAAAAGAAGAAUGAUUAAAUCUAAUUAUAUUCAGCAUGUUUUUCAGAGUACUGAGUGGAAGAGUGACUUUUAACUUGACAUCUAGAUUUUUGUGAAUGAAGACACUGGGGAAACACAUUUGAAAUGAGUUUUAACCAACAAGUUGCAUAGGACACUAGGUUCCCAGUUACAAAGACGGUGCAUGUCCCAGCCUGCCAUCUUUAGAGGCGCUCAAGGGUGGGCGGUCCUCGGCGGUGGGGACUGCGGGGGCCAUGGGUUGAUGACACCCUCAUGAGGACCCUGAGUACUCCUCCUCCUCUGGUGUACUGGGUUGUCUCCUCUGUGUUCCCACAGCUCCUUUCACACUGGCCCCUCUCCCAUCAUUUUAGUGGCUGGCUGGGCAAGUGGCCAUCUUCCCCACUGGAUACUGAGGUCAACAGGUGGUGACUUAUCCCCCCUGGAGCUCCCUUCUUACCACUGAAUACAGAGCUGAUACACAACUGGUCCCAUAUACUCGUGGUCCAGAAGUCCUAUUUGCUCUUUAUCCAAACUUGUUUGCUAAAGGAGCAGAAACCAACUCAAAGAAAUUCAUGGAAAACGGGAUUUUUUGUAAGGAGCCUCAGGGCACCUCGCAGGAAUGGGAAAGGAGGAUCUGCUUUCCUCUGUGUCUGCACAUCUCCCUCACUCCCUCCCUCCUCGUGGGCUCCCUUUCCCACUCUGCUGCCCACACAGGUCUUCAUGCCUCCCAGUCUCUCCAGCUGGCUCCGCCCCGGUGACAGUCUCACGCCUGGGUGCUCAGCCCUUUCCUGCUGUUUCUGCCUCUGGGUCUCUUACUGCAAAUGUCUUUGACAUUCCCAUUGGCCCAGAAUAUGUUAGGUCUCCAUCCAUGGAAACCGAAGGGUGUUGGGGGGUGGGGGGCUGGGGCGCAGUAGGCACAGGGACACAUCACCUGGUUUAAAUACACCUGGCUUGACUCACUCCUUCAUCAAGAGCAGUGUGUGGGGACAGUCUUAUUAGGAGGAAGGUUUUAGAAAGGAGCCAUACCUGAUAGUUCCCUGAUAACUACCUGAAGCCUCUGUCCCAAAAGUUAUUUCUUAAAUCAGAUUUGGACUUUUAAAACGCUUUUUCCUAUAUAAAUGUUUAAAGCACGUAGGCCAGGCACAGUGUCUUCCCUGUCUGUUCCUACGUGGUCUAUCGCCAGACUCUAGCACAGUGCCCAGCAACUAGCAGGCACACUGUAAACAUUCAUUUCUUGUCUGGUCAGGUCCCCAGGUUAGCUCACAAAAGUCCACACAGCUAUUUGUAACCAGCACGUAGAAUUGAGUUUCAACAAGAAAAUGUAUUCUACACACAGCCAUUAGGAGAAUGCACAAGAGCAUCAUGCAGUCGCAAGAAUACAGGAAAGGGAGUUGAGGUUCCAGCCCCAGCUCUAACACUUAGCAGGUGUAUGACUUCAGGUGAACCAUUUAAUCUCUCCAGUUUCAGCUGCUUCAUCUUUAACAUUUGUGGAAUUGAAUGACAACACCUCUAAGGCCCCUUCCAGCUAUUAAAUUCUGUGGCUGUGACUAACAUAAUCAGGAUUUAAUUCACUCCACCCUAUCAGUCUUCCUUCCCCAUGCUAUUUAUGGGUGCAAGAGUUUGGUUGUGGAGAUGAACUACACAUUCUCCUGGGCACCAGUAACUCCCUCAAGAUACGUAAUCAUCAUUGUCAUCAUCCUGAUGAAAAAAUUAGCCGGGCGUGGUGGCGCACACCUGUAGUCCCAGCUACUCUAGAGGCUGAGGCGUGAGAAUCACUUGAACCCGGGAGGCAGAGGUUGCAGUGAGCUGAGAUCGUGCCACUACACUCCAGCCUGGGCGACACAGUGAGACUCCGUGUCAAAAAUAAUAAAUACAUAAAACAGCCCCCUGAGGUAGGGAUUAUUAUUAUUUUUUGAGAAAAGGCUGGUCUCUAACUCCUGACCUCGGGUGAUCCACCUGCCUUGGCUUCCCAAAGUGCUGGGAUUACAGGCGUGAGCCACCGCGCCUGUAAUCCAGAAGUCACCCAGUGAAUAGUGGGGCUGGAGCUUAGACGCGGGUUUCUGAUUCCCAGCCCAAGCUCUAGACACAGAGUUUCUCAGCGCGCUUCCCAGAUCAGCAGCCUCCUGCUUCACCCUGGAACUUGCACAUUCUCCAGCUCCACCCAGGCCUAUUGAAUCUGUAGCUCCAGGCCUCAAGGGGGCCAGCAGCCUGCGUUCUAAUCUUCCAGAGGAUUGCAGUGCACACUUCUAGCCUGACAGAUGAUUCUAAUGCACGCUAACGUUUGAGAACACCUACCCCCUCUGCAGCACUACAUUUCACCAAACUCCAGAGGGUUUCUCAGGUGUUUACUCCCAGGUAUUCCAAUUGGGGAGAGAGUGUGGUAUGAGUGCCCAUUUGUGGAUGGAUGAGGCAGGCAGGCAUUCAAACGUCAAGUGCCUGUAAAUUAGGAGCUAGUUGUGCUACUUUUCAAACACUCACUCUCUCCCAGUUGUCAUCGCUGAUGAAAUCACUACUGAAGAAGUCAGGAGGUGGAGAUAAUGACCAAGAAGGGAGGAGGGGCCAUUAUUCCUCCAGCCGUGCUGUGGAGAAAAUGAGGAGGCCUUCUCCAAGAAGCCCCGGCAGAGAGUUUUAGCAGGAUAAGCAAACAGGAUUAGAGUAGGGUGUCACAUAGCAAGGUUCCUUCUCCCUCUUGAACAUAAGGCUGGCUCUGUAGCCCCACGCAGCCCAGCGUGGUAGCCACAGCCUUGUGUGUCUGCUGAGCACUCAAAUUGUGCCUCUUCUGAGUGGAGAUGUCCUGUGAGGACAAAAGACAGGCUACACUUCAAAGUCUUGGUACAUAGAAAAGGAACGUGAAAUAUCUCAAUCAUAUUUUGUAUUGAAAUGGUAACAUACUGGAUAUAUUCGAUUAAAUGAAACAUCAAAUUUAGCUUCACCUUUUCUUUUUACUUUUUCAAUGCAACUGAUAGAAAAUUUUAUAUUACGUGUGGCUCACAUUAUAUUUCUAUUGGGCAGUGCUGUUUUAGAAUAAUCCUGAAAGUCCUGUCUACAUCCACCUUAAUGCACGCACUGUGAUGUCCAUAAGUUGAUAUUUUCUGGUAACAGUGAUUGUCAACACUUCAACCAAGAAACCUAGUGGGCCUAGAAUCAGUUCAGAGGUUAAAUUCCCAAGGUCAGAGUUAGACCAAGAGGCAGAAUCAGGUGCUCAGGAUGACUAGCUUGAAGAAUAAGGUCAUAGAAAGGUCAUAAUGGCUUCCCAGGAACAGAUUUAGGUAGCACAGUCAGGAGCCAAGAGCAUGGAGAUGAAGGAUCAGGUGGUCAUGAGUGUAAAGAAACUUCCUCCUGCAUGCCCAGAGCUUUUAUGUUGUUCCUACUGGGCCAGGAACUAAUUCUAGAAUGGCUUACCCAGGUAUCCGAGCGACAGAAGAUAAUUGGAAACACCUGGCUGAAGUAGGUGGCUUGGCACGCUCCAGGAAACAACCACUUCUGGGAAUGUGACUCUACCACCCCUCCCAUAAGGGGGAGAGUCUGUUUCCCCUUUGUUUGAAUUUGGGCUGAUCCUGUCGCCAAUGCGUGCGGAGGAAGUGAACUGGACAGCUUCCAGGCCAAGGCCUUAGGAUGCUUUGUGGCUUUUGUUUUGCCACCUUGGAAGCAGCCACCACGUAAAGAAGCAUCGUCUAGACUAAUGAACAAUGUCAGAACGCUUAGCUGGAGAAUGGCCACGUGGAGGAGAACUGAGGUGCAUCCAGCACCCAGCACCAGACCUGUGAGGGAGGCCAUCUUGGCCCCACUGCCCCAGUCAGUCCGCCUUGGCCAUCACCACCGGGAGCAGAGAGGAACUGUCCUCUGAGCCCUCUUGAGUUCCUGCACACUGAAUCACAAACAAUCAAAAGGCUGCAGCCAGCCGGGCAUGGUGGCUCAUGCCUGUAAUCCCAGCACCUUGGGAGGCCGAGGCGGGCAGAUCACCUGAGGUCAGGAGUUCAAGACCAGCCUGACCAACAUGGUGAAACCCUCUCUCCACUAAAAUAAAACACACACAAAAAUUAGCUGGA